CAAUAGCGUAUAUUAAAGUUGUUGCGGUUAAAAAGCUCGUAGUUGGAUUUCUGCCGAGGACGACCGGUCCGCCCUCUGGGUGAGUAUCUGGCUCGGCCUGGGCAUCUUCUUGGAGAACGUAGCUGCACUUGACUGUGUGGUGCGGUAUCCAGGACUUUUACUUUGAGGAAAUUAGAGUGUUUCAAGCAGGCUUACGCCUUGAAUACAUUAGCAUGGAAUAAUAAGAUAGGACCUCGGUUCUAUUUUGUUGGUUUCUAGAGCUGAGGUAAUGAUUAAUAGGGAUAGUUGGGGGCAUUCGUAUUUAACUGUCAGAGGUGAAAUUCUUGGAUUUGUUAAAGACGGACUGCUGCGAAAGCAUUUGCCAAGGAUGUUUUCAUUGA
This 380-nucleotide ribosomal RNA is filed under the name uncultured eukaryote. RNAcentral's name for it is "partial 18S ribosomal RNA". It matches the Rfam family "Eukaryotic small subunit ribosomal RNA", at positions 592 to 976 of the family's 1831-position model. The record is from RNAcentral.